GAAAGAGAAAGAACUCUAUUUAAACUUAGAUCAAGUUAUAUAUUCACUAAUAAAUUCAAAUACACAAUGGGUAAAUGCAAUAGUGAACUGUGUGACACAUGUUUAGUAGUGGACGAUAUGCAACACUACCUGUUUAACUGUAGGAAGUACAUACCACAAAGACAAAAAAUGAUGGAAAAGUUUGAAACAUCAGGGGUAAAAGAUCUCUCAUAUAAAAAUUUAUUUUCAGGAUAUUCUCAGACACUAA
This 247-nucleotide long non-coding RNA is filed under the name Mytilus galloprovincialis (Mediterranean mussel). Lineage: Eukaryota; Metazoa; Mollusca; Bivalvia; Mytilida; Mytilidae. The record is from RNAcentral.